CUAUCUUUGGCGAAAAUGGUAAACGCGUCGGACUGAUAAUCUGAAAGUUGCCGGUUCGAUUCCGGCAUGAUUUA
RNAcentral lists this transfer RNA (74 nucleotides) under Nannocystis exedens. It matches the Rfam family "tRNA". From Rfam's summary of the family: Transfer RNA (tRNA) molecules are approximately 80 nucleotides in length. Their secondary structure includes four short double-helical elements and three loops (D, anti-codon, and T loops). The record is from Rfam by way of RNAcentral. Lineage: Bacteria; Pseudomonadati; Myxococcota; Nannocystales; Nannocystaceae.